AGCAGCCGCGGUAGUUCCAGCUCCAAUAGCGUAUAUUAAAGUUGUUGCAGUUAAAAAGCUCGUAGUUGAAUUUCGGGGUCAGUAGGUUGGUCGUGCCACUGGUAUGUACUGGCUUCACUGAUUCCUCCUCUUGUAGAACCGUAAUGCCAUUAAGUUGGUGUUGCGGGGAAACAGGACUGUUACUUUGAAAAAAUUAGAGUGUUUAAAGCAGGCUAACGCUUGAAUACAUUAGCAUGGAAUAAUGAAAUAGGACGUUUGAUCCUAUUUUGUUGGUUUCUAGGAUUGACGUAAUGAUUAAUAGGGAUAGUUGGGGGCAUUAGUAUUCAAUUGUCAGAGGUGAAAUUCUUGGAUUUAUUGAAGACUAACUACUGCGAAAGCAUUUGCCAAGGAUGUUUUCAUUAAUCAAGAACGAAAGUUAGGGGAUCGAAGACGAUCAGAUACCGUCGUAGUCUUAACCAUAAACUAUGCCGACUAGGGAUCGGAUGAUGUUAAUUUUUUAAUGACUCAUUCGGCGCCUUAC
This 520-nucleotide ribosomal RNA is filed under the name uncultured Glomeromycotina. Its description in RNAcentral is "SSU rRNA". It matches the Rfam family "Eukaryotic small subunit ribosomal RNA", at positions 569 to 1091 of the family's 1831-position model. Lineage: Eukaryota; Fungi; Glomeromycota. The record is from RNAcentral.